This 476-nucleotide non-coding RNA is filed under the name uncultured Glomus. RNAcentral describes it as "SSU rRNA". It matches the Rfam family "Eukaryotic small subunit ribosomal RNA", at positions 569 to 1042 of the family's 1831-position model. RNAcentral also lists the same sequence under 1 other name. The record is from RNAcentral. Lineage: Eukaryota; Fungi; Glomeromycota; Glomeromycetes; Glomerales; Glomeraceae.
AGCAGCCGCGGUAAUUCCAGCUCCAAUAGCGUAUAUUAAAGUUGUUGCAGUUAAAAAGCUCGUAGUUGAAUUUCGGGAUUGGCGCAUCGGUCGUGCCUCACGGGGUAUGAACUGGUGCAGUCAAUUUCUCACCUUCUGGAGAACCGCGAUGUCCUUAAUUGGAUGCCGCGGGGAACCAGGACCUUUACUUUGAAAAAAUUAGAGUGUUUAAAGCAGGCAUUUUUGCUUGAAUACAUUAGCAUGGAAUAAUAAAAUAGGACGGCAUGGUUCUAUUUUGUUGGUUUCUAGGACCACCGUAAUGAUUAAUAGGGAUAGUUGGGGGCAUUAGUAUUCAAUUGUCAGAGGUGAAAUUCUUGGAUUUAUUGAAGACUAACUACUGCGAAAGCAUUUGCCAAGGAUGUUUUCAUUAAUCAAGAACGAAAGUUAGGGGAUCGAAGACGAUCAGAUACCGUCGUAGUCUUAACCAUAAACUAUGC